GCUCUGACGCUUACAUCCAUCUCACUGAACGUCCUGCUGUUUAUUACAAUAAUAGGUUUGUCUAGAAAAAGUGGAAAACCAUAUCAGAAUGUCAAAGAAAAGCAGUUUGAUGACCUGAAUACAGAAGAGUUCACUGAAGUGGAGUUCUGUCAGUAUGAAUAGCAUUCAUCGAGACCGACGGCGCUUUUAUCUCACAAGCCAAUAACAAAAUGAAGAAAACAAACUUAGGAAGACAAAAGAUGACAUACGGAAACCUACAGAACCAAUAAAAACAUUUACACUCUUAAUCAAAAUGUUUAUAUAUGUUUUUCAACAACUUUAAUAAAAAC
This is a long non-coding RNA of Triplophysa rosa, 329 nucleotides long. RefSeq lists it as uncharacterized. The record is from RefSeq and is a predicted model, not a curated record. NCBI's taxonomy places the organism in Eukaryota, Metazoa, Chordata, Actinopteri, Cypriniformes, Nemacheilidae. The transcript has 3 exons.